This 497-nucleotide ribosomal RNA is filed under the name uncultured bacterium. RNAcentral describes it as "partial 16S ribosomal RNA". It matches the Rfam family "Bacterial small subunit ribosomal RNA", at positions 28 to 507 of the family's 1533-position model. The record is from RNAcentral.
GAUGAACGCUGGCGGCGUGCCUAAUACAUGCAAGUCGAGCGAACGGGCGAGAAGCUUGCUUCUCUGAUGUUAGCGGCGGACGGGUGAGUAACACGUGGAUAACCUACUUAUAAGACUGGGAUAACUUCGGGAAACCGUAGCUAAUACCGGAUAAUAUUUUGAACCGCAUGGUUCAUAAGUGAAAGACGGUCUUGCUGUCACUUAUAGAUGGAUCCGCGCUGCAUUAGCUAGUUGGUAAGGUAACGGCUUACCAAGGCAACGAUGCAUAGCCGACCUGAGAGGGUGAUCGGCCACACUGGAACUGAGACACGGUCCAGACUCCUACGGGAGGCAGCAGUAGGGAAUCUUCCGCAAUGGGCGAAAGCCUGACGGAGCAACGCCGCGUGAGUGAUGAAGGUCUUCGGAUCGUAAAACUCUGUUAUUAGGGAAGAACAUAUGUGUAAGUAACUGUGCACAUCUUGACGGUACCUAAUCAGAAAGCCACGGCUAACUACGUG